RNAcentral lists this long non-coding RNA (671 nucleotides) under Pogona vitticeps (central bearded dragon). RNAcentral's name for it is "lncRNA (ENSPVIG00000001264.1)". The record is from RNAcentral. Lineage: Eukaryota; Metazoa; Chordata; Lepidosauria; Squamata; Agamidae.
AAUCUCCCUAACAGAUGCAUCGGAAAGGGAAUUACCGUCUACCCUUGCGUUUACUAUGGGGUGGUACAAAAAGAAAUCAAUCGCAUAGAGAGGUGGGGGGGGGAAUAAUCGCCGCCCGCCCCAGAAACUAACUGCAGAGACUAUUCUCUCCCCGCCUCCCGAUUAGGGUUUUUUUUUUUUAAUCAACCCGGGUUACGCGCGCAUGCACACACGCCGGCUGCGGCCAAUUCUCGCGGGACCCGGCGUUCUCGCUAUAAAAAGUCACCAGAGGGGCUCUUCCUUCCUUUCCCAUUUGAUAACUGUGCAGGUGCAAGAAGUUGGUUGUCAGCUGGUAAGCAUAGUCUUCCACUCUGCAGCUGAAUGGCCUGGAAACAAUAACUGAAUGAAUGGAUAUCCUUGCAGGCAUCCAGGUGAGUACUGUGAAGAAUGGCAAAUGAACAGAUUUCAGAUGAGCCAGUUGAAAACAGAGGGGCAGUUCAGUCGUCUAGCUGAUCUUCCGUUGAGACGUGGAAGAAGUGUUCAUCAUUGUGGCCCGAAUCCCUGGCGGAGUGCUCCCUAAUACUUUGCAACCAGCUAAAGUAUGAAUAUAUGUUUUAUUUGGACCUGUGGAAGUGAAGGCAAUGAGAACCUAUGACAGUUUAAAUAAAUUAUUCGAUCCCUAGGCUUGUGCA